CUGCUCCUGCAAUCAAAUGCAACUUUUGCAGAACCCUCCACCUAUGUGAAAUUCUCUCUCUGUAUUUUUGGUGUGGGAUAUGUUAAAAGAAUGCAAGGAUCACAAAGCCAGCCCCUGCAGGAGUUAGAUGUCAGACACAAGACCAUCCUAGUGAAUCAGAGAAGGAUCCUGUUUCAUAAAGCAUACACACAAGACUUGCACAUCAGUUCAGGUAUCAGAGAAGCUGACAAAACAUCUUCAAGAGUGAAGUAUGCAGCAAAUGACUGCCCUGUAGUGAAAGCCAGGUAGGACAUACAGUAACAACUUUGGACAGGAGCUGAUGGAGAACUGCCCUUCUCUCUCCACCUCACAGCUGAUAAAUUACCAAAACUAAUCGUUGCCUUGACAGGCCUUUGAUCUCUGGAACAGCCAAUUUAUAAAUGAUGAGUUCCCUUACAUGCUACUCUUGAUAGAGCUGUUUGAAGGAGUUUUAAAAUCAAUAAGCUCUACACAACAGAGAGCCUUUAGUUUAUUCCCAUUUAUUGCAGGCAUUGUGAACUAUCCUUGAAAGUGCUUAUUGAAGGGUAUAAGUCAGGUAGCCAUACAGAAAUCAAGUUUGAUAAGAGAAGAGAUGGAGCUGAAAGAUUAAUACAAAAUAGGAAACUCUGUGCUUUCAUUGGCUCUCCCUCCCACCCCUCCAAACCAGGCCCUAAACUGAACAAAAGUUAUGGAUGCUGUCUCCAGAGAGAAAGUGUGGUUCAGUAUUUAAAAUGGAGAAUGAGAAGAGAAAGUUGUAGAUUCUGUAGACAGCUCAGCUACUGACCUGGCAACAUGGCCUGGGGCAGCUCAGCCCCUUGAUGCGUGCAGAUGGUUUAUCUGCCUAUAGGAGUAGGUAUAACAACAACCAAAAUUGCAGUACAUCCUUUAUCUAAGUAUGCAGAAAUGCUCCACAAAUGUGAAUGGCCACUGUCUGUAGGACAAACAGGUGGCAUUCCACUGGUGUGAAUGGCUGAAUAGUAUGGCAAACUUGGUUCUAGCCCCUUCUUUCCAGAAUGUGAAAUCCUGGGGAAGCUUUCAGGGGGAAGGGAAGAAAUUUUCCUUCUAGGCCAGAGGUGGCCACCCUGCAGCGCAAGUGCUACAAGUGGCACAGGGAACCUCUCUGCAUGGUACAUGACCGAUCAUGGAGGGGACAGGUGGCACAGGGCAGGAAGCAGCAGGAGAUCAAUAGAGGAGGGAGAUUGGAGUGGCACUUGGAGCAGGUGUGAGGCUAAUUUGUGACACAUGGGAAAAAGGUUGGCCCUGACUGCUCUAGGCCAUAAAGCAGUGUCAGUGUCAUUCUGCAGCCACAGUUGUACUACUUAGACAGCUGUAUUUAUGAUGGCCAUAAUACACUUUCUACUGGAAGGAGGACAAGAAGACCUAGUGCUGUCUACACUAACUGUCCAUAAGAACUGACAGAGUCGGGCAGUAGGUUGCUAAUUCUACCAUAACAUGCUUCUUUAUGGAUGUUUUCAGGUAAUGAUGGUUAGGGUUAAGCGUCUGUCUUGGAGUGAUAGAUACCUAUUGCCCCCAUUACCCCUUGUUUGAAAAUAUACCUAUAUGCUCUAACUAAAAUGUGAUACUUUAAAAAUAAAGGAUCAGUUGUUCAGGUUGGUAAAAACCAGCAACAGAAGCAGAAGUUUAAAUAGAUUCUGGUAAUGUGGAAGAGAAAGUCAGCAUGUCUGAAUGAGGGAGAAAUCUAGCAUGCCCAAGAAGAGGAAAAAUAAUUUGAAUUCCAUGGAAAACUCCUUGCUUAAAUUCCUUGUAUUCCUGAAACACCUCACUGCCUGGAUAAAAUUUCCCAUUGAUACGAUUCCUCCCCUUGCUCUCUCCCCCUGUUCCCAGUAACAGUUGGCAAAUGAGCUGGUGUGGAACUUUAUUAUGACCCAGAAAGCACAAGACCAAGCCAGCUGAGACUCUUUGCCUUGGGCACUGAGAAGCAAAACAAGCAAAAGAGCGUUUUAGCAAAUUAGUGAAAUGACACACACACAUGGUGGGUUGACAAGUUCUAGACCGGAUCCUGCCAAACUUUGCUUGCUGUUUUCUGCCUUAUUCAAGGAAACAGCUCCCUUGAAUUUCUAGGGAUCACUUUGGAGUAAUUUUCUUCUUUCUCUUUUUACUUGUAGGGGGCAGGGAAUCGAGUUUGAAAGAUUAGACUCUGUGUUGUUCGCUCUUGACUGUUUUUGAAUGUUGAUCUUGGAUACAAUAUUGGAGAGGGGAAAACUUGAAGCUAAUAUUAACCACUGUCAACCUUAUUCACAGUUGGAGACUUUAUCUUGGUGCGUAUUUGCACGCAAUCUUGGCUUUAAGUACAAUCACUUUUCCUGUCUCUUUUUAUUAAUCCACUGAGAGUGCUCAUUUAAAAAUGUAGCAAUACAGUGAAAGUGUAUUCAUGAGGGUGGAACAAUAGGAGGUGCUGACUGCUUCAUUUGCUAUCAUCUUUGGAGAGCUCAUGGAUCAAUUCAGGAAAUGUGUAAUGUUGUCAAUACUGUUGAAGUGGUGCUGUUUAAAGAAAGCUAAACUCACACAGGAUCCCAUCUCCACAGCCAUUCAAAGAGCUACAUUAUCUUCAAGAGCUGUUGUGUAUUUAAUACAAACUAGUAUGGGAUAAUUGAGGGAUCACUUUGAAUAAACCAUUGUUGCCAUGUUGUCAUCUAUUAAUCAAUUGAAUAACCCAGAUAUACAAA
Long non-coding RNA from Gavialis gangeticus (Gharial), 2705 nucleotides. RefSeq lists it as uncharacterized. The record is from RefSeq and is a predicted model, not a curated record. Lineage: Eukaryota; Metazoa; Chordata; Crocodylia; Gavialidae. The transcript is spliced from 2 exons.